CAUCAUUCAUUUCAAUGGCAGCGUUCAACCGUCUUCUGAAACGUGCGGCGAUCAUUCUCUUGCUAGCCGCCGCAAAUCUCUUCGCGGUGUCCAACGGCCAACUGACAUUUUCCUCAGGUUGGGGAAAACGUUCCGGGAACGAUGACGAAAUAACAAUAAACCUGGAUGAUCAGCUGCAGUAAGAUGAGAUCCCCGACGACAAUGGCCGAACGCAAAUGCUACCAUAAAUAAUUUAUGUUGCCAGUAUCGUUUGCUUUUAUCUUUAUGGAAGUAUUGAUGAUGUAGAAACUUUAUUUUAUCUAGCUUCUUCACAGCCCAAGAAUCUAUAAUAGGGAUAUAAGUAAUAACAUCUAAAACAAUAUGAAAUCUGUAAUGUAUUUUUAAAUCUACGAAAAGCUAUGGUUUGUUUCAUUUUUGUCAUUUAAUCGCACCGACUAUUGUUUUCUAAAUAUUAUUUUGUGGUUUUGAAAUGUAUGUAUUUUAUGUGAUAGUUUAUCGUGCAUAAGAAAAGACGUCAGUGCAUUUUUAAGUUGUGACAUCCCAUCGCUUCUUCGUAUUCGAAAUAAUACUCUAAACUACAUAAUAUAAGUCUGGAUAACAGUUAACAACCCAAACAGAGAACCAAAGGACGGAGAUAAAAAUGAGCAAAAUUUUAAAUCAAUAUGACUGCUAUUUGAUGGAUAUAAUAUCUAUGUUUACAAUCCGUAGUUUAAAAUAGACAUUGAAAACACAGCUACAUCGAGACAUGUAGAAUAAAAUAUAUUAGCAUCGCAGCAUUUGGGUUUCAUUUAUUCCUUUGUAGAAUUAUUAACACAUUUUCGAAAACAAAUAAAUAAUUUAAAGUACAUAGCAUAAUUUCAAUUUAGAUAAAAUGCAGUUUUAAAUUACCUGAAAAACUCGUUAACUUUCAAUAAAACUAAUGCCAGUUUCCUUGCUAUUACAUAAUAGGAGUUUAGUUUAUAUUCAUGUUGUAUGUAAAUUCUUUAAAAUUACAUGAUUUUGGAAGAGUUGCAUGACAUUAUGCCGAUUGUAAGAUAAACGCUCCGAAGUAAUACACAACUAUAAACAAUGAACAUCGGUUCUAGCUAUCAUUAGUCGACCAAACACAAUGAAGAGAAGAAUCUUAGAAUCGAAAUUAAAUCUCUUGCCGUGUUCUUAUAGAUUUGAGUACAACAUGAAUGUUUUACAAUUAUCUCUAUUUAUAGUGCAUAACUUUAACACUUUUCUUGUACCUAGUUAAUAAUGAACAAAGAUGUUCAAUUAUACUCUAAUUUACUAAUUUUUAAAUUGCUGUGUUGAUCUAACGCCACGUGUUCACGUGUUAGAAUCUAUGUACACAUAAUUAUGAAAUGAUAAGUGUAACUCAAUGAUCUUAUUCUACAUUAAUUACGUUACUCCGUUCAUGCGCUGGCCAUCUCAGAUUUUUUACAAAUGUUCUCAGAUAAUUUACAUGAAGCCAUCCCAUUAUUCCAUAUAAUAAAAAGGAAUAGUAUUGUGAAUAUUGUUGACUUUGCAUAAGUUUAUCUGUUUACAAUAUCCGCCGCUGUAGUGUCUUUGGUGUAGGUGUGUGUCUCAGAUUAUCUUAUUAAAUGGCUAAACGAGAUGCUUGGCAUUAAUGUAAAAUAUCUAGGAAUAUUUAUGUAUCAUAUUCUCACUCCAAUAAUUAACGUAAUCUAAGCAGACUCUCUUAUAGCAAUGUAGUGUUCAUUUCUGAAACCCUACAAUAUGUACAGAUGUACGUAGUGCUGAUAUAAUAAUUACAAUCAAAUCGUUGGAAUUAUUUUUAUUUUAUAAGAGAGUCAACUUUUAGCAUCAUGUGGCACAUGAUGCCAAACGUUUGUACAUUCUCCAGGCAUACACAAAGUAGUCUCUAAAAUCUAAGGAAGUCUGUAGCAGGUAUGUAAUUUGCAAAGUUGGAAACGGAGUAGGAACUGAAUAAAAUGAAUUUUCGCAAAUUAUACCACGAACCGGAAAGAGACGCCGAAAUGUAUGAAUAUAAAAAAUUAAAUAUAGAAAAUAACGCCUCCCCAAAAGCAACUUUGGAGGUAUGGCAACCCUCACACGGUCUUUCGUACGCACAUUUGUCUAUGGUUUACCAAAGACAAAUAGUUGAACGAAAGAUCGAAAAUAAAAAUGAAAUAAACGGCACACUCUAACUAUUUACAACCGAGAAGCUUUAUGGAUACCAUAUCAGGCAUAGUUUCUUUUGGGGGAAUAAAAUGGAUUUGAAUAUUUUUAAAGUCCGUUUCCGACUAAACAACGCUUAUAAUAGCUUAACUAUAUGCACAUCCUAGGAUAUUUGUACUUGUAAUGUCUUAACCGAAGACCAACUUGAAACUUUUGCCAAUGUAUAUUUAUCACGUUCAAAAUUAAAUAAAAACACAAUUGAAGGCUAUUCACAAAAACAACUAAUAUUUUUCCAAAUGUAAGGUUAAAAAAUAUUAAAAUUCUUAAAUAUAAAGGCACUUUAUCAUAAUAUAUAAAUUAUAUGACUGAAACUUAUUCAACUUAAACCAGUUUAAAGAAAAAAAAA
RNAcentral lists this long non-coding RNA (2533 nucleotides) under Zerene cesonia (dogface butterfly). RNAcentral describes it as "uncharacterized LOC119839137". The record is from RNAcentral. Lineage: Eukaryota; Metazoa; Arthropoda; Insecta; Lepidoptera; Pieridae.